RNAcentral lists this ribosomal RNA (270 nucleotides) under Staphylococcus aureus. Its description in RNAcentral is "partial 16S ribosomal RNA". It matches the Rfam family "Bacterial small subunit ribosomal RNA", at positions 1131 to 1400 of the family's 1533-position model. The record is from RNAcentral. Lineage: Bacteria; Bacillati; Bacillota; Bacilli; Caryophanales; Staphylococcaceae.
UUGGGCACUCUAAGUUGACUGCCGGUGACAAACCGGAGGAAGGUGGGGAUGACGUCAAAUCAUCAUGCCCCUUAUGAUUUGGGCUACACACGUGCUACAAUGGACAAUACAAAGGGCAGCGAAACCGCGAGGUCAAGCAAAUCCCAUAAAGUUGUUCUCAGUUCGGAUUGUAGUCUGCAACUCGACUACAUGAAGCUGGAAUCGCUAGUAAUCGUAGAUCAGCAUGCUACGGUGAAUACGUUCCCGGGUCUUGUACACACCGCCCGUCAC